Molecule: ribosomal RNA, 836 nt
Filed under: uncultured bacterium
Lineage: Bacteria
Description: bacterial SSU rRNA
Rfam family: Bacterial small subunit ribosomal RNA
Source: RNAcentral
GAAAGCAGAAUUUCUAGUGUAGAGGUGAAAUUGGUAGAUAUUAGAAAGAAUACCAAUUGCGAAGGCAGCUUUCUGGAUCAUUACUGACACUGAGGAACGAAAGCAUGGGUAGCGAAGAGGAUUAGAUACCCUCGUAGUCCAUGCCGUAAACGAUGUGUGUUAGACGUUGGAAAUUUAUUUUCAGUGUCGCAGGGAAACCGAUAAACACACCGCCUGGGGAGUACGACCGCAAGGUUAAAACUCAAAUGAAUUGACGGGGACCCGCACAAGUAGUGGAGCAUGUGGUUUAAUUCGAAGAUACGCGCAGAACCUUACCAACACUUGACAUGUUCGUCGCGACUAUAAGAGAUUAGAGUUUUCGGUUCGGCCGGACGAAACACAGGUGCUGCAUGGCUGUCGUCAGCUCGUGUCGUGAGAUGUUGGGUUAAGUCCCGCAACGAGCGCAACCCUCACUUUUAGUUGCCAUCAUUAAGUUGGGCACUCUGAAAGAACUGCCAGUGAUAAGCUGGAGGAAGGUGGGGAUGACGUCAAGUCCUCAUGGCCCUUACGUGUUGGGCUACACACGUGCUACAAUGGCAUAUACAACAGGAAGCAAAACGGCAACGUUAAGCAAAUCCCGAAAAGAUGCCUCAGUUUUGAGCGCAUAACAAUUUCACACAGCAAACAGCUAUAAUCAUUAGUAAUCCUAGAUCAUUAUGUCACAGUGAAGAAUUUUCAAGGUAUGCAUCACACCCCCCGGCACACCAUGGAUAUUGGUUACACCUUGACGCCCGGUAAUAAACCAUUGACCACAGUAUAAUCAGGGAUCGGGGUGAAGUUGUAACCAAGUAACCGUU